Molecule: ribosomal RNA, 253 nt
Filed under: uncultured bacterium
Lineage: Bacteria
Description: partial 16S ribosomal RNA
Rfam family: Archaeal small subunit ribosomal RNA
Source: RNAcentral
UACCAGCACCCCGAGUGGUCGGGACGUUUAUUGGGCCUAAAGCAUCCGUAGCCGGUUCUACAAGUCUUCCGUUAAAUCCAGCUGCUUAACAGAUGGGCUGCGGAAGAUACUAUGGAGCUAGGAGGCGGGAGAGGCAAGCGGUACUCGAUGGGUAGGGGUAAAAUCCGUUGAUCCAUUGAAGACCACCAGUGGCGAAGGCGGCUUGCUAAACAAACAUUGACGCUGAGGCACGAAAGCGUGGGGAUCAAACAGG